CAAUAGCGUAUAUUAAAGUUGUUGCGGUUAAAAAGCUCGUAGUUGGAUUUCUGCUGAGGACGACCGGUCCGCCCUCCGGGUGAGCAUCUGGUUCGGCCUUGGCAUCUUCUUGGUGAACGUAUCUGCACUUGACUGUGUGGUGCGGUACCCAGGACUUUUACUUUGAGGAAAUUAGAGUGUUUCAAGCAGGCAUACGCCUUGAAUACAUUAGCAUGGAAUAAUAAGAUAGGACCUCGGUUCUAUUUUGUUGGUUCUAGAGCUGAGGUAAUGAUUAAUAGGGAUAGUUGGGGGCAUUCGCAUUUAAUUGAUUGCAGAGGUUGAAAAUUUCUUUGGAUUUGUUAAAGACGGACUACUGCGAAAGCAUUUGCCAAGGAU
RNAcentral lists this ribosomal RNA (375 nucleotides) under uncultured eukaryote. RNAcentral describes it as "SSU rRNA". It matches the Rfam family "Eukaryotic small subunit ribosomal RNA", at positions 592 to 965 of the family's 1831-position model. The record is from RNAcentral.